Molecule: long non-coding RNA, 426 nt
Organism: Amphiprion ocellaris (clown anemonefish)
Lineage: Eukaryota; Metazoa; Chordata; Actinopteri; Pomacentridae
Source: Ensembl
AGAGAUUGGAGAGGUAGAUCCUCUGCCCGAUAGUGGCAACAGCCUGGCUCUAAUUAGAUAUGCCAGGCGGGCUGUGAGCAGUCACUCUCCACAGCACGCCGAGAGAGGAGGCAGCCUGAGAGAGGAGGACAGAGGAAACCUAUCUGCUCAUCUGUCUGUCCAGCGCCUUCCUCUGGGCAUCCACAAGGUGCAUCUGACUGGCCCUGCGUUCAUGGGUGGCAACACCUCCGCAGAGGAGAAUGGAGCAGAGAUGAAGAUGAGAAGGAGGAGGAGGAGGAGGAGGAAAAAAAAACAUGCUGCAGGGAUCAUUGAGCUGAAGGAUUACGAGGGGCAUGAAGAGGAUUUCAGCUGACUGGUUUCAUCCUUCUGUUCCACGUUUUGGAGUUAAGCACCUGACUGCUGAAGGACACCCAGCCUUUACCUGCA